RNAcentral lists this transfer RNA (73 nucleotides) under Gossypium arboreum. It matches the Rfam family "tRNA". From Rfam's summary of the family: Transfer RNA (tRNA) molecules are approximately 80 nucleotides in length. Their secondary structure includes four short double-helical elements and three loops (D, anti-codon, and T loops). The record is from Rfam by way of RNAcentral. Lineage: Eukaryota; Viridiplantae; Streptophyta; Magnoliopsida; Malvales; Malvaceae.
GCGUCCAUAGUUGAAUGGUUAAACGCCCAACUCAUAAUUGACAAAUUCGUAAGUUCAAUUCUUACCGGAUGCA